CCCUUAGAUGUUCUGGGCCGCACGCGCGCUACACUGAUGCAUUCAACGAGUUUCUUCCUGGUCCGAGAGGAAUGGGUAACCUUUUGAAAGUGCAUCGUGAUAGGGAUAGACUAUUGCAAUUAUUGGUCUUCAACGAGGAAUUCCUAGUAGACGUAGUUCAUCAGACUGCAUCGAUUACGUCCCUGCCCUUUGUACACACCGCCCGUCGCUCCUACCGAUUGAAUGUUCCGGUGAGGCUUUGGGAUCUGAGCGGAAAGAGCGUUUCGCUGUUUCUGCUCGGAAAACUCAGUCGAACCUUAUCAUUUAGAGGAAGGAGAAGUCGUAACA
This 327-nucleotide ribosomal RNA is filed under the name uncultured eukaryote. RNAcentral describes it as "partial 18S ribosomal RNA". It matches the Rfam family "Eukaryotic small subunit ribosomal RNA", at positions 1470 to 1796 of the family's 1831-position model. The record is from RNAcentral.